AACUUUGUGCAGUGGCAGUGCAGUAGCCAAUGAGGUUUAUCUGAGGCAUGAUUAUAGCUAAUUGAAAAGAAAAAAAAAAGAAAUUGGGAAAACCUUCCCACUCCAAGGUGCUGGCCCACUUUUUUUUUCUCUCCAAA
Molecule: small nuclear RNA, 137 nt
Organism: Suncus etruscus (white-toothed pygmy shrew)
Lineage: Eukaryota; Metazoa; Chordata; Mammalia; Eulipotyphla; Soricidae
Product: U4 spliceosomal RNA
Exons: 1
Source: RefSeq, a predicted model, not a curated record